RNAcentral lists this ribosomal RNA (465 nucleotides) under Vreelandella stevensii. RNAcentral's name for it is "partial 16S ribosomal RNA". It matches the Rfam family "Bacterial small subunit ribosomal RNA", at positions 338 to 795 of the family's 1533-position model. Lineage: Bacteria; Pseudomonadati; Pseudomonadota; Gammaproteobacteria; Oceanospirillales; Halomonadaceae. The record is from RNAcentral.
CCUACGGGGAGCAGCAGUGGGGAAUAUUGGACAAUGGGCGAAAGCCUGAUCCAGCCAUGCCGCGUGUGUGAAGAAGGCCUUCGGGUUGUAAAGCACUUUCAGUGGGGAAGAAAGCCUUGGGGCUAAUACCCUCGAGGAAGGACAUCACCCACAGAAGAAGCACCGGCUAACUCCGUGCCAGCAGCCGCGGUAAUACGGAGGGUGCGAGCGUUAAUCGGAAUUACUGGGCGUAAAGCGCGCGUAGGCGGUCUGAUAAGCCGGUUGUGAAAGCCCCGGGCUCAACCUGGGAACGGCAUCCGGAACUGUCAGGCUAGAGUGCAGGAGAGGAAGGUAGAAUUCCCGGUGUAGCGGUGAAAUGCGUAGAGAUCGGGAGGAAUACCAGUGGCGAAGGCGGUCUUCUGGACUGACACUGACGCUGAGGUGCGAAAGCGUGGGUAGCAAACAGGAUUAGAUACCCCAGUAGUC